This 82-nucleotide non-coding RNA is filed under the name Mycobacterium sherrisii. RNAcentral describes it as "Fluoride sequence". It matches the Rfam family "Fluoride riboswitch aptamer (crcB RNA motif)". The record is from Rfam by way of RNAcentral. Lineage: Bacteria; Bacillati; Actinomycetota; Actinomycetes; Mycobacteriales; Mycobacteriaceae.
GUAACUAUCGGCGAUGGAUGUCCGCCUGGGUGAACACUCGUCCGAACCGCCUCGUAUCGAGGCUGAUGGCUCCUGCUGCAUU